Daphnia carinata is the source of this 836-nucleotide long non-coding RNA. RefSeq lists it as uncharacterized. The transcript has 3 exons. The record is from RefSeq and is a predicted model, not a curated record. Lineage: Eukaryota; Metazoa; Arthropoda; Branchiopoda; Diplostraca; Daphniidae.
GGACACUUUCCAAACAGUGAAGGAGAUUUUUCCAAACUCAUCCCUAACUGAAUGUGAGCAUGAGUUGGCGUUAGGCGAACACAGUCAGUUAUUCAGUCUACCACCUGACAGUGUGUUAAAGUUAAAUUCUGUUAGUGCUGCACUAAAAGAAUUGUUAGUAAUAAGUCCAUGCAGCGAAGGAAGUGAACAAUUGUGGGACCUUAUUUGGGCUGAAAAUGGGUGUGGUACGGAAACCCAGAAAUAGCAUGUGUUCAACAUAAAACAUGAAUUAGGUACUUUUCAGUUUUUUGUCUAUCGAAAAAGUAUUUUUAAUGCUAUUAUUUUGCAUUCACAGAAUUUUAGUGGGGGAUCAAGUCAAGUCUGGAAGUGUUACAGGAUGGAAGAGUGAGCCUACAGUUGAAAAACACUGAAAGUGCAUUACCCUUAAGGUAUGAGGUAAAGUAAUAGAGUAUGCACAUUGUCUAAUGAGAAGUACCAUCUUGUGUGAAUGAAUCCUGUAUAACAGCAAUCCUUUAUAGUUCUGUCACACCUAGAAGCCUCAAAUAAUUCUGCUUCUCUUGCUAAAGAACAACUUGUCCUUUACGUUCAGAGUGUUGGGGAAACUGGGUACUUAAAUGGCCCUAAAGAUGUUUUAAUUUUGCUGCCAUUGCAGAGAUGAACAUCAUACAUGGACUCUUUAGGUCUAAUCUACCAAAAAAAAUUUUAUCCAAUAGGAAAGGAUUUUCAUGUACUGGGAACACAACUAUCAACAAUGCAACAUUGUACAGGUGCUAGUUUAUCAUUCAAGAGCCUUAUACAAUGAUGUUAAUCUGCAAUUUGUAUGUCCUUCCCCAAGC